RNAcentral lists this ribosomal RNA (492 nucleotides) under uncultured bacterium. Its description in RNAcentral is "partial 16S ribosomal RNA". It matches the Rfam family "Bacterial small subunit ribosomal RNA", at positions 29 to 507 of the family's 1533-position model. The record is from RNAcentral.
AGUGAACGCUGGCGGUAGGCCUAACACAUGCAAGUCGAACGGCAGCACAGUAAGAGCUUGCUCUUACGGGUGGCGAGUGGCGGACGGGUGAGGAAUACAUCGGAAUCUACUUUUUCGUGGGGGAUAACGUAGGGAAACUUACGCUAAUACCGCAUACGACCUACGGGUGAAAGCAGGGGAUCUUCGGACCUUGCGCGAUUGAAUGAGCCGAUGUCGGAUUAGCUAGUUGGCGGGGUAAAGGCCCACCAAGGCGACGAUCCGUAGCUGGUCUGAGAGGAUGAUCAGCCACCCUGGAACUGAGCCACGGUCCAGACGCCUACGGGAGGCAGCAGUGGGGAAUAUUGGACAAUGGGCGCAAGCCUGAUCCAGCCAUACCGCGUGGGUGAAGAAGGCCUUCGGGUUGUAAAGCCCUUUUGUUGGGAAAGAAAAGCAGCAGGUUAAUACCCCGCUGUUCUGACGGUACCCAAAGAAUAAGCACCGGCUAACUUCGUG